CAGUCGCCGCGGUAAUACCGAGGGUGCGAGCGUUAAUCGGAUUUACUGGGCGUAAAGCGUGCGUAGGCGGCUUUUUAAGUCGGAUGUGAAAUCCCUGAGCUUAACUUAGGAAUUGCAUUUGAUACUGGGAAGCUAGAGUAUGGGAGAGGAUGGUAGAAUUCCAGGUGUAGCGGUGAAAUGCGUAGAGAUCUGGAGGAAUACCGAUGGCGAAGGCAGCCAUCUGGCCUAAUACUGACGCUGAGGUACGAAAGCAUGGGGAGCAAACAGGAUUAGAUACCCCCGUAGUCCCUGUCUCUUAUAA
Molecule: ribosomal RNA, 301 nt
Filed under: uncultured bacterium
Lineage: Bacteria
Description: partial 16S ribosomal RNA
Rfam family: Bacterial small subunit ribosomal RNA
Source: RNAcentral